CCCGAGUUGUAAUUUGUAGAGGAUGCUUUUGGUGAGGUGCCUUCCGAGUUCCCUGGAACGGGACGCCAUAGAGGGUGAGAGCCCCGUCUGGUUGGACACCGAUCCUCUGUAAAGCUCCUUCGACGAGUCGAGUAGUUUGGGAAUGCUGCUCUAAAUGGGAGGUAUAUGUCUUCUAAAGCUAAAUACCGGCCAGAGACCGAUAGCGCACAAGUAGAGUGAUCGAAAGAUGAAAAGAACUUUGAAAAGAGAGUUAAAAAGUACGUGAAAUUGUUGAAAGGGAAGCGCUUGUGACCAGACUUGGGCUUGGUUGAUCAUCCGGGGUUCUCCCCGGUGCACUCUUCCGGCUCAGGCCAGCAUCAGUUCGCCCUGGGGGAUAAAGGCUUCGGGAAUGUGGCUCUCUCCGGGGAGUGUUAUAGCCCGCUGCGUAAUACCCUGUGGCG
Molecule: ribosomal RNA, 440 nt
Filed under: Fusarium solani
Lineage: Eukaryota; Fungi; Ascomycota; Sordariomycetes; Hypocreales; Nectriaceae
Description: partial 28S ribosomal RNA
Rfam family: Eukaryotic large subunit ribosomal RNA
Source: RNAcentral